This 180-nucleotide ribosomal RNA is filed under the name uncultured bacterium. RNAcentral describes it as "partial 16S ribosomal RNA". It matches the Rfam family "Bacterial small subunit ribosomal RNA", at positions 1321 to 1500 of the family's 1533-position model. The record is from RNAcentral.
UGAAGCUGGAAUUGCUAGUAAUGGCAGGUCAGCAUACUGCCGUGAAUACGUUCCCGGGCCUUGUACACACCGCCCGUCACACCAUGAGAGUUGGGAAUACCCGAAGCCUGUGAGCUAACUUUUAAGAGGCAGCAGUCGAAGGUAGAAUCAAUGAUUGGGGUGAAGUCGUAACAAGGUAAC